GAAUGGACGCGGAAUGGGAACUGAAGAGUUUAAGUCACCACUAGGAAAUCCAAGUCUAGUGUUUUCCGGAGUGAUGAAAUGAGAGAAUCUCAGCGGCCGCUUUAGGAGGUCUCAGCUUCGCUCGGCGCCAUUACAGCCUCCUGCAUACGAACUGUUGGCGCUCCGGUUUGAGCCUGCGUACCGACGUCGUGAGGGAGGUCGACGGCCGCGCUGUUUCCGCCGCUGCUGCGUCGUAGUGGAUCUGUUUGAGUGACUGCUGGUUGUUCCCUUCGCGCUGUGAUGGCCCAAGGAGAUGGUCCUCCGAUGCGGAGGCCGGGGGUAGGAGUGGCAGCUUUUGUGACCAGCUCAGGCUGGCCUGGCUGCGUACUGCUCGGUAAAAGGAAAAGCUCGUUCGGUGCAGGCACUUACCAACUCCCCGGGGGCCACCUGGAGUUCGGAGAAAGUUGGGAAGAUUGUGCCAAACGGGAAGUUCUUGAAGAGACUGGGCUUCACUUAAAGAAUGUGUUCUUUGCCACGGUUGUAAAUGGUAUCAAGUUGGAAGAAGAUUAUCACUACAUCACAAUUUUCAUUCAGGGAGAAGUAAACAUGGAUUAUGACUCAGAACCAAAGAAUUUGGAACCACAGAAGAAUGAAGGAUGGGAAUGGAUCAGAUGGGAAGACUUCCCACCAGAAGACCGGCUAUUCUGUCCUUUGGCUUGUGCAAGACCCAUUUAUCAUCCAUUUCAAGAAAGACUUUAAUAUUUUGCUAGAAGUUCACAAUAUGGCAAUGAAGGUGCAUUUCCUCCUGGAUUCUACCUUGCUCCAAUGCCACUUUUACUAUUUCUUGGAAUUCUCCAUCCUUCUGAAUCAACAGAUUCAAGAUCUGGAAAGGGGCCGUGGACAAUUUCUGAUUUGAUGGAGAUAGACGUAAAAGCACAGAGGAACAUCUGGAGAAAUUUCUGAAACGCCCAUCCGCUGCUGUCGUUACUGUGUGGUCGGGAAUCUUUCGGAGGGUAGGACUCAAAAUCCCCGGCCUUGCCUACUUUUGGCGACCGAGAAAGAGGUCGAAUCGCUCGGACAGAGAUGGCGCUCAGUACUCGAUGUCGGACAGCUGAUCAGAGCUCGAAGUUUUCGGAUGACUCAGAGUUGGAUUGUGUCGGCAUGGCAGGGAGAGUUUUUCUUCCCUCUCCCGUCCGCGUGAGAUGUGGGAUAUUUGAGAAACUUUGAACCUUACUGUGCUCACGGACUUCUUCAUCAAGUUAUGGUGUUGUGCACUGUUGUAACUAUAUGUUAUAAUUAUGUGGUUUUGUCAGUUUUUUCAGUCUUGGUUUGUCCAGUGUUUUUGUGAUAUCACACCGGAAGAAAUAAUGUAUCAUUUCUCAUUGCAUGCAUUACUAAAUGACAAUAAAAGGGGACUACGUGUCUUCAUAAUCGAAACCAUAUUUGUAUCUAAG
This is an RNA transcript of Mobula hypostoma (lesser devil ray), 1433 nucleotides long. It is a transcript of the gene named nudix (nucleoside diphosphate linked moiety X)-type motif 15, with no coding region annotated. The transcript is spliced from 5 exons. The record is from RefSeq and is a predicted model, not a curated record. NCBI's taxonomy places the organism in Eukaryota, Metazoa, Chordata, Chondrichthyes, Myliobatiformes, Myliobatidae.